RNAcentral lists this ribosomal RNA (251 nucleotides) under uncultured bacterium. Its description in RNAcentral is "partial 16S ribosomal RNA". It matches the Rfam family "Bacterial small subunit ribosomal RNA", at positions 526 to 779 of the family's 1533-position model. The record is from RNAcentral.
CGUAGGUGCGAGCGUUGUCCGGAAUUACUGGGCGUAAAGAGCUCGUAGGUGGUUUGUCGCGUUGUUCGUGAAACUCACAGCUCAACUGUGGGCGUGCGGGCGAUACGGGCAGACUGGAGUACUGCAGGGGAGACUGGAAUUCCUGGUGUAGCGGUGGAAUGCGCAGAUAUCAGGAGGAACACCGGUGGCGAAGGCGGGUCUCUGGGCAGUAACUGACGCUGAGGAGCGAAAGCGUGGGAGCGAACAGGAUU